Molecule: ribosomal RNA, 416 nt
Filed under: uncultured bacterium
Lineage: Bacteria
Description: bacterial SSU rRNA
Rfam family: Bacterial small subunit ribosomal RNA
Source: RNAcentral
AUGAACGCUGGCGGCGCGCCUAAUACAUGCAAGUCGAGCGAGAAGACGUAGCAAUACGUUUGUAAAGCGGCGAACGGGUGAGGAAUACAUGGGUAACCUACCCUCGAGUGGGGAAUAACUAGCCGAAAGGUUAGCUAAUACCGCGUACGCUUCUUGGACUUCGGUUCAGGGAGGAAAGCGAUGCCGAGGGUAUCGCGCUCUUGGAUGGGCCCAUGUCCUAUCAGCUUGUUGGUGAGGUAACGGCUCACCAAGGCUUCGACGGGUAGCUGGUCUGAGAGGACGAUCAGCCACACUGGCACUGCGACACGGGCCAGACUCCUACGGGAGGCAGCAGUAAGGAAUAUUGCGCAAUGGGCGAAAGCCUGACGCAGCGACGCCGCGUGGGGGAUGAAGGUCUUCGGAUUGUAAACCCCUUU